This 2064-nucleotide long non-coding RNA is filed under the name Homo sapiens (human). RNAcentral's name for it is "HSALNT0392157". Lineage: Eukaryota; Metazoa; Chordata; Mammalia; Primates; Hominidae. The record is from RNAcentral.
GCAUGGGGUGGUGGGUGCAGGGCAGAUGCAGGCCCGGCCGCCCCAGCCUUGUCCCCCUACUGUCUCUGUAGUGGGUCACACUGUGGGUCACCCUCCUCCAAGGGCCCCACGUCUCGGGCAGACAGAGCAGGGGGUGAGGGGCCCCGGGGGCCGAGCCAGCUCUGACCUCCUCUGAGCACCUGCCUGCAGCCAGCCCCUCUGCCUGCCAACCACCGGCCCUCAGCAGUCCCUAUAUCCUCAAAUCCGCCCCAUCCCCCACUUGGCUAUACUGGAAGUGGGCACGCUUCUGUUACCCAAAUCCCAUCCUUCCAGCCUGAUAGGAAGGAACGCCCUGGCAGUGCUGUCUGGUCCUAGCCACAGUGACCCAGAGGCCAGGUGUCGGGGGCUGGGGCCGGUGAGGGCUCUGAGGGGCCGCCCAGUGCUCAGGAGCCAGGGCUCUGCUGCUACUGGGGCCUGAGUGGGGCUGCAGCCCCAGCCUUGGCACCUGGAACAAGGGACAGCCACACAUGUGCCUGUCUGAGUCUGGGGCAGGGCUUAUGCAGGCCGGGCCCGGCCCUUGGCGGGUGUUCAGGGCCUGAUACUACCACCCUUAGGAGUGGGGCAGGCACCGGGCAGGUUUGUGAGAACUGCACCCACAUUUCCGCCACAGCUGGAAGAGGACGUGCCAACCGGAGUCCCACCAGGGGCGGGGGUAGGGGCAGAUGGAGCCCUGGACACUGCGGAGGCUGAGCCUCAGUAUUCCCCAUGCCCCAGAGCUGUGCUGUCCCCCAGGCUGGGAGCUGGGGCAGAAGUCAACUCCAGCCUACAUGGGCCCAGCAGCUACCUCCAGAUGCCCCAAAACAGGUGCAAAGGGAUACCCAGCUGCUCAUGAAAAUGAAUCCCAGAUGGAGACAAAGAGCCCUGCCUGGCCCUGGCCUGGCGUGGCCGGAUGUCCCUUUCCACCUUCCUGCUCACAGAGGAGGCUGGGCUUCUGAGGCCUGAGGGGCCAGGCAGGAAGCCAUGGGCCACAAGGCACCCCUGGGCCCCCGCUCCCCGACUUCCUGCAUGGUAGAAGGCCCGUCCCGGGGCCAACUGCCUCUGCCACCACUGCCUGGAUGAGUGAGGGCAGGAGGUGGAAGGGUGAGGUGGGGCCCUGACCCUCGGGAAGAGGGGUCCUGGACUCAGUUUCCCUCCCUGUCCUGAGGCUGCUGCCUUCUAGCCAGAUCCUGGUUUCCAGGGGCCCUGUCCUGCCCAGCAGUUCCCACAGUGCUGGCUGGUUCUCAAAGGGAGACCCCAGGAGACCCCCCCCCAGGAGACACCUGGGCAGGGCAGGGGCAGCUCUGGGGGGGGGCAGCCAUAUGGUGACCCCUCCACUGCCCACAGCCACACAGCCCCUCCCCGUAACCUUCUCUGCAUUUGCUAAUGUUUUGUGACAUGAAGCCCUGAGAUUAAUUUUUUGCCUGUCUUAAUUGAAGGAACCAUUUAGUGCCGAUUUAACUAUUAUUACCAAAUCAUCAGGAUUGAUGCAGUGCGCACACGCACGCGCCAAUCGUGUUUGGAGGAGCUCGGAGGAUUUAUGCAAAUGGGCCUGCCGGGAGAGGCAAUUUGUAGCCGAGAAGGACAAUUAUACCAGGCCCGGGAGUGCGCCAACGACUGCGCCGGGCGGGUAAUGGAUAAUAACAUCGCGCCGGCAGCCGUGAGCAGCUCCACAGCGUGACCAACGACUUUAUACAGUGCAGAUAAAGAGGCCUGCACGCAACACCGCCUCACACUCCAGGGGGGCCGGGCGGGGACGAUGCCACAGCCAGGUGUGCAGAGCCGGCGUGGCUGGGCCUGGGGGCCGUGACUUCCAGAGGGGGACCCGGGCCAGGGUGGUGCUGGGAGCUGCCAGAAGGGCAAAGCCUGUCUGGAGCAGGGCUCUGUCUGCUGGUCACUCUCGAUGGUCUAGGAAGGGCAGGGCCAGGCCUUCAGAGUAGGUGUGAAGGGGCACCAGCAGCCUGGAAGCCUCAGGGGAGCCUGGACCCUGCUCCCCAGCCUCGAGGGCCCAGGGCCGGCCACACGCGCCCUGCCAUGCCAGUGCCCAGG